This 404-nucleotide ribosomal RNA is filed under the name uncultured organism. RNAcentral describes it as "bacterial SSU rRNA". It matches the Rfam family "Bacterial small subunit ribosomal RNA", at positions 355 to 775 of the family's 1533-position model. The record is from RNAcentral.
CAGGGAAUCUUGCGCAAUGGACGAAAGUCUGACGCAGCGAUGCCGCGUGGAGGAUGACGGCCCUCGGGUUGUAAACUCCUUUCAGGAGGGACGAAAUUGACGGUACCUCCAGAAGAAGCCCCGGCUAACUACGUGCCAGCAGCCGCGGUAAUACGUAGGGGGCAAGCGUUGUCCGGAUUUAUUGGGCGUAAAGAGCUCGUAGGCGGCUUGGUAAGUCGAUCGUGAAAACCAGAGGCUCAACCUCUGGACGUCGGUCGAUACUGCCAUGGCUAGAGUCCGGUAGAGGAGAGUGGAAUUCCCGGUGUAGCGGUGGAAUGCGCAGAUAUCGGGAGGAACACCAGUAGCGAAGGCGGCUCUCUGGGCCGGAACUGACGCUGAGGAGCGAAAGCGUGGGUAGCAAACAG